RNAcentral lists this transfer RNA (79 nucleotides) under Saitoella complicata NRRL Y-17804. RNAcentral describes it as "tRNA-Asp". Lineage: Eukaryota; Fungi; Ascomycota; Saitoellomycetes; Saitoellales; Saitoellaceae. The record is from RNAcentral. RNAcentral also lists the same sequence under 1 other name.
UCCUUGAUAGUAUAGUGGCUAGUAUACGCGCCUGUCAUUAGGCUCGCGCGGGACCCGAGUUCAAUCCUCGGUCAGGGAG